CAAGCAGCCAUCCAGGGGAGAUACCAUGAGCACGAAGGUGGUUUUCCCAGGGCGAAGCUUAUCCAUUGCACACCAGAUGUGCUGACCCCUGCAAUUUCCCCAAAUGUGGGAAACUCGACUGCAUAAAUUGUGGUAGUGGGGGACUGCGUUUGCGCUCUCCCCUG
Molecule: small nuclear RNA, 164 nt
Filed under: Echinops telfairi (small Madagascar hedgehog)
Lineage: Eukaryota; Metazoa; Chordata; Mammalia; Afrosoricida; Tenrecidae
Description: U1 spliceosomal RNA (ENSETEG00000022321.1)
Rfam family: U1 spliceosomal RNA
About the family: U1 is a small nuclear RNA (snRNA) component of the spliceosome (involved in pre-mRNA splicing). Its 5' end forms complementary base pairs with the 5' splice junction, thus defining the 5' donor site of an intron. There are significant differences in sequence and secondary structure between metazoan and yeast U1 snRNAs, the latter being much longer (568 nucleotides as compared to 164 nucleotides in human).
Source: RNAcentral